RNAcentral lists this ribosomal RNA (273 nucleotides) under uncultured bacterium. Its description in RNAcentral is "partial 16S ribosomal RNA". It matches the Rfam family "Bacterial small subunit ribosomal RNA", at positions 524 to 796 of the family's 1533-position model. The record is from RNAcentral.
UACGUAGGGGGCAAGCGUUGUCCGGAUUUAUUGGGCGUAAAGAGCGUGUAGGCGGCCAGGUAGGUCCGUUGUGAAAACUGGAGGCUUAACCUUCAGACGUCGAUGGAAACCAUCUGGCUAGAGUCCGGAAGAGGAGAAUGGAAUUCCUGGUGUAGCGGUGAAAUGCGCAGAUAUCAGGAAGAACACCCGUGGCGAAGGCGGUUCUCUGGGACGGUACUGACGCUGAGACGCGAAAGCGUGGGGAGCGAACAGGAUUAGAAACCCCCGUAGUCC